RNAcentral lists this ribosomal RNA (465 nucleotides) under uncultured bacterium. Its description in RNAcentral is "partial 16S ribosomal RNA". It matches the Rfam family "Bacterial small subunit ribosomal RNA", at positions 28 to 507 of the family's 1533-position model. The record is from RNAcentral.
GACGAACGCUGGCGGCGUGCUUAACACGUGCAAGUCGUACGGUAAGGCCCUUUCGGGGGUACACGAGUGGCGAACGGGUGAGUAACACGUGAGUAACCUGCCCACAACUUUGGGAUAACGCUAGGAAACUGGUGCUAAUACUGGAUAUGUGCUCCUACUGCAUGGUGGGGGUUGGAAAGCUCCGGCGGUUGUGGAUGGACUCGCGGCCUAUCAGCUUGUUGGUGGGGUAGUGGCCUACCAAGGCGGCGACGGGUAGCCGGCCUGAGAGGGUGACCGGCCACAUUGGGACUGAGAUACGGCCCAGACUCCUACGGGAGGCAGCAGUGGGGAAUAUUGCACAAUGGGCGCAAGCCUGAUGCAGCAACGCCGCGUGCGGGAUGACGGCCUUCGGGUUGUAAACCGCUUUCAGCAGGGACGAAGCUUUUUGUGACGGUACCUGCAGAAGAAGCACCGGCUAACUACGUG